CAGGGUAAUGUGAAUAUAAAUGAAAAUAAGGACAUAACAAAUGAUGCAGUUAGUAAUGGAACUGGAACCGGAUCAGCACCAGUCGGAGCAGCUCAAAUUUUACCAAACCCAAAUUCAUCAAAAUCAAAAGAAAUGUUACCCUAUUCAAAUAUGAAACACAUUAGAUUAAAUAAAAUGAAUAAUAUGCAUAUUCAACAAUCAUCACAUAUAACAUCGUGUAAUAAUCAAUACGAGGAUAAAAUUAGUAUGAAUCAUAAUGUUAUGGGGGCUAUAAAAAAUGUAUUACAAAGUGAUCAUAUGCCAUGUUUAUCACAUGUAGCAGCUCAUACUAAUGCUGAUAUAAAAAAUGUUAAUAAUAACAACAACAAUACAACAUCUGUUACUUCUACUUUGAAUACAAAUAAUAAUAAUAAUAAUAAUAGUAGUAGUAGUAGUAGUAGUAAUAUAUCUAGUGGUAACAAUAAUAAAUUUACAAACUCUAAUUGGUCAGGACCUAUGAAUCACAAUUUACAUGGCUAUAAACAUACUGUAGGAGGAGAUAUAUACAAUUCUCAAAUAACCCAAUCGAAUUGUCAUAUGUAUAAUAGUACUAGUGGCAACUUUAACGGAAUGAAUAAUCAUCAUAGUGGUUGUAGUAGUCAUGUAGGAAGUAAUCAUAACAUCGAGAGUAGUAGUGGUAGUAACAAAAGUGGGCACAGUAGUAAUGUGAAUAGCAAUAAUAGCAGUAAUAAUAACAACAGUGGUGGUAAUAACAGUGGUGGUAAUAACAGUAGUGGUAAUAAUAGUGGAGGUAAUAACAGUGGAGGUAAUGGUAGUAGUAACAAUAGUGGAGGUAAUAAUAACAACAAUAAUAACAACAAUAACAAUAAUAAUAACAAUAACAAUAAUAAUAACAAUAACAAUAACAAUAAUAAUAAUAAUAAACAUCAUCAAUUAAUGUAUACUGACACGUUAAUGUACAGACCCACUUUGUUCAACCUGUUAGAAGUCCUAGCUAAUCAGAAU
This 1005-nucleotide long non-coding RNA is filed under the name Piliocolobus tephrosceles (Ugandan red Colobus). RNAcentral describes it as "lncRNA (ENSPTEG00000009912.1)". The record is from RNAcentral. Lineage: Eukaryota; Metazoa; Chordata; Mammalia; Primates; Cercopithecidae.